AAGUCGUAACAAGGUAACCGUAGGUGAACCUGCGGUUGGAUCAUUAAAAAGUUUGAAAAGGGUUAACGUCAAAGAUGCUUUUAGUUUAGUUAAUUUUUUGGCCGUUUCGUUCAUUCAUUCGUUCAAUUCUGAUACUGUUUUUUCAGCAUCUUUGACUUAGUCCCUUAUCAAAAACCAACCCUGUGUGAACUGUUUUGUCUCUGGCGGCUGGGUAGGGAUAUACUUUGUGUAACCCUAUCUGUCAGCUUGGUCUUAUCUGAGCCGUGGACAACCCGCCAAACAUUACUGAACAAACUUAGCUAAUUUUUUCUGUCUAAUAUCUGAUUUGUAUAAAUGUACAAACAACUUUUGGCAACGGAUCUCUUGGCUCUC
RNAcentral lists this unclassified non-coding RNA (372 nucleotides) under Spizellomyces punctatus. RNAcentral describes it as "partial internal transcribed spacer region". The stretch from base 1 to 46 matches the Rfam family "Eukaryotic small subunit ribosomal RNA", at positions 1786 to 1831 of the family's 1831-position model. Lineage: Eukaryota; Fungi; Chytridiomycota; Chytridiomycetes; Spizellomycetales; Spizellomycetaceae. The record is from RNAcentral.